Molecule: long non-coding RNA, 265 nt
Organism: Panthera uncia (snow leopard)
Lineage: Eukaryota; Metazoa; Chordata; Mammalia; Carnivora; Felidae
Exons: 3
Source: RefSeq, a predicted model, not a curated record
GUCUUGACAGCUGGCGCCUACCUGAUCACGGAAGGACUGAGUACCCCUCCCGGGGCUGGCAGAUCCUAGAGAGAGCAAAUGACUCUUCAAUUAUAAUGUCCUGGUGUGGAUCUCUUCCAGUUAUCCUGCUAGGAGUUUGCUGAGCUGCUUGCACAGAUGGAUGACCGUUAUUAAAGUUGAACUUUCUUAAAUGCCUGAAAGAAGAAGACAAGAAGGACGAGGAGGGAAGAGAAGGAGGAAGGCGGAAGAGGCGAGAAAGAGGAAG